AUGGUUUAUGAUUUUGCAGAGUUGUGCCAAAAAAAUUACAAGAAAAUUAGAAGCAUCAUUUUCUUUGGUUGUUUUGGUAAAUUAGAAGGACCACAGCUGGAACACAAGAGCUUUCAAUUGAUGGUGGUGGACAGUGAGAGUCCAUCGUUGCAGAGUUGUGGUGAUGAAAUAAUGAUAAAUGAUGAUGCAAAAUGCAGCUGUUUCUUGAAAAGGAUGGUUUUCAAUGCUGUCAAGCUUUUGACUAUGAAAAAAAUAAAGCAUUACGUGGAGAAAGGAAUUCAAGAAAAGAACACAUCGUUUUUCUUUUUCUGCUCUUUUUUUUUUAUUUUUGUCCAAGUAUUAAUUUUUGGUU
RNAcentral lists this long non-coding RNA (352 nucleotides) under Prunus dulcis (almond). RNAcentral's name for it is "sRNA ncRNA". The record is from RNAcentral. Lineage: Eukaryota; Viridiplantae; Streptophyta; Magnoliopsida; Rosales; Rosaceae.